This 256-nucleotide ribosomal RNA is filed under the name uncultured bacterium. Its description in RNAcentral is "partial 16S ribosomal RNA". It matches the Rfam family "Bacterial small subunit ribosomal RNA", at positions 524 to 776 of the family's 1533-position model. The record is from RNAcentral.
UACGGAGGAUCCAAGCGUUAUCCGGAAUCAUUGGGUUUAAAGGGUCCGUAGGCGGUUUAAUAAGUCAGUGGUGAAAGCCCAUCGCUCAACGGUGGAACGGCCAUUGAUACUGUUAAAACUUGAAUUAUUAGGAAGUAACUAGAAUAUGUAGUGUAGCGGUGAAAUGCUUAGAGAUUACAUGGAAUACCAAUUGCGAAGGCAGGUUACUACUAAUUGGAUUGACGCUGAUGGACGAAAAGCGUGGGUAGCGAACAGG